This 253-nucleotide ribosomal RNA is filed under the name uncultured bacterium. Its description in RNAcentral is "partial 16S ribosomal RNA". It matches the Rfam family "Bacterial small subunit ribosomal RNA", at positions 524 to 776 of the family's 1533-position model. The record is from RNAcentral.
UACGUAGGGUGCGAGCGUUGUCCGGCAUUACUGGGCGUAAAGAGCUCGUAGGUGGUUUGUCGCGUUGUCCGUGAAAACUCACAACUCAAUUGUGGGCGUGCGGGCGAUACGGGCAGACUGGAGUACUGCAGGGGAGACUGGAAUUCCUGGUGUAGCGGUGGAAUGCGCAGAUAUCAGGAGGAACACCGGUGGCGAAGGCGGGUCUCUGGGCCGAUACUGACGCUGAGGAGCGAAAGCGUGGGGAGCAAACAGG